This 301-nucleotide ribosomal RNA is filed under the name uncultured bacterium. RNAcentral's name for it is "partial 16S ribosomal RNA". It matches the Rfam family "Bacterial small subunit ribosomal RNA", at positions 509 to 809 of the family's 1533-position model. The record is from RNAcentral.
CAGUCGCCGCGGUAAUACGUAGGGUGCAAGCGUUAAUCGGAAUUACUGGGCGUAAAGCGUGCGCAGGCGGUUCUAUAAGACAGAUGUGAAAUCCCCGGGCUCAACCUGGGAACUGCAUUUGUGACUGUAGAGCUGGAGUACGGCAGAGGGGGAUGGAAUUCCGCGUGUAGCAGUGAAAUGCGUAGAUAUGCGGAGGAACACCGAUGGCGAAGGCAAUCCCCUGGGCCUGUACUGACGCUCAUGCACGAAAGCGUGGGGAGCAAACAGGAUUAGAUACCCCUGUAGUCCCUGUCUCUUAUAA